Molecule: unclassified non-coding RNA, 5314 nt
Filed under: Hermetia illucens (black soldier fly)
Lineage: Eukaryota; Metazoa; Arthropoda; Insecta; Diptera; Stratiomyidae
Description: uncharacterized protein DDB_G0284459, transcript variant X3
Source: RNAcentral
UCGAGGGGGUGUUUGUGGUAGUUUAAAAAAUAAAUUUCCGUACUACGGAGGGUACUACCAACAUUUCAGUAGAAAAAGAGCUUCAACCAGUGUCGGAUAAUUCGGAUACGUGGUACCGAAAGCAAGGCAACUACCCCCAAAAACAAGCAUGACUGCCGCAUAGAGUCUGUCUAAUGAAGUGUAGCGCCCAACAACCCUUAGUCCAUCCUGACCAGACGUUCGAAGUGUGUCAUGUAAUGUUUCAGGGAAAUGAGUCAAUUGUGAACGUGGAAAUAAUAAUUAAAGUCGAGAUUUUACAGCGUGUGAAGUAGAUAUAAAACUACCCCCGUAAAAUUUGAUUGAAGGAACGGAAUGUUUAUGGAAUUAUCCUAGUGCUCUGUGGAGUUAUUUUCCGGAUUCUGGUGGUAAAAACUAUCUGAAAUUCGGUGGAAGUGUCAAAGUGAUUCCGUUGAGACUCAGUGAAUGACUUGAAAGGAUAAUACGUGUUUUUUGUGGCGCUGAUUCUAAUAAAAACCUGUCAAAAUGGCAUUCGGAGUUCAAAAUGCGGAUCCCCCAUCAUCGUCAGCAGCAUCAGGCGCCCGUUGCCUACCUCCAGCCUGUGAACAAUAAUGGCAUCAUUAACGCCAACACAUUAUCCGAGUCGGCACAAAUAGCAACAGUGAAUUCAACAAUAUCAUCGUCAUCCCCUUCGUUGACGCUGACAUCAUCGACAACAGGAACAAGAGCCUUGCGCGAGAGUUCAACAAUCACCAACUAUUCAUCACACUUGAGGAAUCUGAAUGGUAACGACAACGGCAACGAUAACGAUAAUCGCUCUGAAUCCUCCAACACUUUCACCACCGGGGAAUUGAUCAAGCCCGAUGACAACGUGAAUUUAAUGCUGUCGUCGGCAACAAUCAACUACAAUCACGCUCUCAAGUACGCAAAAAAUCAAAAUCUGAACCAGAACCAUCUGACGCUGAAUCAAAACCAUCGACAGAAUCUGAAUCUGCUCCAUCAGAACUUAAAUCAAAAUCAGGAUAAUCUCAAUCAGAGGAGCGCUCCCGGCAGUUUCGUUCCCGGAAGACCCACUGAAACACUUUAUAAUAACUUGAAUCAAUUGAACAAUAGGAGUUUCAGACACGGCACCAAAACGGAUGCAACAAGGACUCAGAAUCUCAUUGGCAACAAUGGGAAUGACUACGUCAACAAAGAAGAUACAACGGCGACAGCCAUGCAGGAAGUUUUUGAAGGAAACUUGAAUGUGCUGGUGGCAGAGGAGGAAAGCACACAAAUAGGGCAGAGAAUUAUUACGCCUGUUUCAAACAUAUCGGAAAGACUUUCAAGGAAUCGUACAGAAUUCGAAUUGGACUCAUCCACCAAAGAUUGUGAUAGCGAAGUGGAGCAUGAAUCGGGGGCGACAAAUGAAAAUGAGGAUGAUAUCCUUCCGAGCACAGAAGAAAAACUCCAAAAUAUCGCCAUCAUAGAACCGAAUUCGGAAGGAGUUGAAUACGAUGACGAAGAAUUCGAGGAAGAUGAGGUCAAGGUUUCCGAAAACCGUAUCCGCCCAAGCUCCAACAAAAUCGACAACACAAACGUGAACGACCAAACUGAAAAUCGUCCUGUUGGCAGUAGUAGCGGUGACAUUAAAAAUCCCGAACCUACCCCCAGCAAUUCACUGAACAAACAUUCGUGCCGGAGCCAAACAACAAAUUCCACAAAAACUAACAUCACAACAGGUGCUCCGAGCACGGAAAAUUUGAAUUUGAACAGCAUCCGCUUGGGAGGGUUGGGCGAAGGACAAAAUGACAUUUCGGUCGAGUUGACUCGUGAGAAUUUCACCAAGCUGGAUCUAGAUAAAAAUUUGCAAGAACAACAGCAGCAACAUCAGCAUCAACAGUCGGUACAGCUGCAGGACCGACAUCGAGAACAUUAUAACCAUCCACGUGCCACUUGUCCCAGGAGCAGCUAUCAACGUCAUCAGGAGAAUUCUUUAUCGUCGAAUUCGGCUGAAUCUAGUCCUGAUGAUAGUCUUAUGGAUGACGAAGAUGCCUUCUCUGAAACACCAUCGACAUGUACAUCCUUGGAUUCACCCGAGCCAGGACACUAUCCCCGAGGAAUUAUAAAUCCAAAUUAUCCAGGAUUUCAACAUUUAGCCCAUACCCUCUCGGAGCACUUUGUCAAUCAUCAUUUGGAUCAGGACGACAGUGAUUUAUCUGAAUUUGAAGUGGAAUUGAGUGUAGAAAGUUUAGAUGAAAGUUUUGCAAGCUAUCACCAUAAUAACAAUAUGAUAGACAGCACUCCGAACAAUAACAAUGAUAACGAGCACGACAAGCGGGAGGAUGAGGACAGAAGUAGUAAGUCUGCGAUGGAUACUUCACAGGACAGUAUCCAGGAUUAUCAUGAUCACGUGAACUAUAAUACGAGCACGGAUGAUAUGAAAGAUACUCGCCUGAGCAAGGAGCUUAACCUUCCAGAGAUUCAAAUUUAUGAAACCGACACCAAACGUCAGAGUUCAAAAAAGGAUAACCAUCUAACGAAAGAGAACUGCACCCUGCUACAGGACAAGACCAUCUCCUCGACCAUGAUGGUCUUAGAGGAGCUAGCCUGCGACCUGGAUACUUAUCUGAAAAAGUUUGAAACUGUAACUGACAUCAAAACACUCCAUAGUCCUGCUCUCAUUGAGGAUGCCACUCGAAACUGUCCCACUCCCGAUAUCCUUAUAAAGAACGACAAGAAAAGCUGUCGAAAGAAACCAUCCCCUACGUCGACAUCAUCUGAAAAUCGACCCGAUCUACUUCGAAAUGUUAGUCCAAACUCGGACUGUUACUUGUCCGACGAGAAGAAACUAAGGAUAGCGGUACCUGAUACUAUUCAGAUAGAAUCAAAACGGCAGGUUACCGACAAACAGGAUGAAUUGAAUUCGUAUAGUAUUACCCCGGUGGAUAUUGUUGGGGACUUUGGUCGGGAAGUGGAGCAUGAGUUUGGCCUGAUUGUGUCCGGAUAUAAUUCAAUUGGAAGGUUUUGCGGCGACGAAUCAAUUGCCAAGGAUAUGAGCAACACUUUUGAUAAGAUGACUGAUGCUGCACUCUCGAACUGCAAAGAGGAGAUUUCCGUUAGUUCUGAAAUUAGUCUAUCGACAAGAUCACUUCUCCAAGGCAUGACUACAUGUGAUUCCACCACAUGUGAUCUUGUAAAAACAUCGACACCAGCGGCAUCUCCACUUACAGAUGAUCCACAAAAGCGACCAUUAGAAAUCGCCAACCACGCAUGUAAACAAACGUUCAUGGAGCAAUCUGAGGAAUCGUUGCCACCAGCCUCCAAUGCCUCCACCCCGUCCACAUCGGGUUCUUCGCGAUCAUCUUUGAUACUAUCGCAAAAUUCCGAUCAGGCAAACGAUGAGCACAGAACGUCGACAGUUAAGCUCAUAAACGAAAAUAGCAACGAGAACAGCAUCUGCAAUGGACCAAUCGUUACAGCAACAACAACAACACCGCCGCCCACAAUACCAGCGAUAUCGGAAUCGGGAACGGAGUCUGAAGCGGCUCGAGUCGAUGCUAAUGAGAUCACUAAUGCCCCAACUAGCAGUACCAAUGCCUCGGAAAAGUUCAUACCAACGGCGAUAGUCAAGCCAAAGUACCAAAAGCCAUCGUACGACGAGCGGCAAUUACCUCCAAUCGGCCUGGCCUACUGUAGCGAUCAAGCAGGAUCGCGAGCCUGGUAUGAGCAAAAACCAGUCAAGGACGCGCAUCCACCCACAGCCACUGCUGCAGUCGUACCAACCACGAAUUCCGCCGCGCAUAGUAGUGAAUCGCGAUCGCGGAAAAUCCAUCAGCUUCCCGUGCAUAUUGAUCGUGAUCGGGAUCGUGAUCGUGAUCGUGAUCGAGCCGCCGGUAAAUAUCCUAAAAAAUCGAUCGGUCGUACGCUUUCCUCGGUCCUUGCGCGAACCGAGAGACUCGCGGGUAGUGGCCAGAAUCGCAAGGACUCUGGAUCCUCGACGGGCAGUUGUGUCGCGAUCGUGACGCCACGGAAAAAGGAUAAAAUGGAAAAUUAUACCAGUUUCGGGGGUGGUGUUGGGGAGAAGAGAGUGAUAGGUGGUAGUGCGGGUAGAAAUCUGAUUUAUGAGAAAAAUAAUAACAACAAUAAUAGUGUGAUCAAGUGCAGUAAGGGAAACAACAAUAGGAAGGAGCACGCCCUGAAUUCAGCCAGUUUCGAAAUUUACAGCAUCGAAACAGCCCUUCCAGUCAUCGACUUAGAAGCCAUUGAGAAUCAUCUGAAGAAAGCCAAAGAGGAGGAGCGAAAGAGACGAAAUGAUCGUGAAGAGAUUCGUCGACGAUUGGCGAUGGGCGCUGAGGAUGACUAUUUUAGUAAAAUUGUCAACCAGGAUCGACCCGGCAGGAAACCAAGUUUACAGUCCAGAUUGCAAAAUGGAAUGAAUCUUCAAAUAUGCUUCAUGAACGAAGCAUCCUCUGAUACAGAAAGUCCCAGUUCGGAUUCUGAAACAUGUCCGAAACUAUCAAAGUCGACAAGUAACUCCAGCAAUAUGUCACGUUACAGUAGCUCAUCGUCCGCCCAUAAUCCGUACCAUUCACGACCACUCUCAGUAAAUAUUGUCAAUAAUAACAUCAACACGAUUACUAACAACAAUCACACAAUGGCUAAUAAUAAAAAAUUCAAUAAUCAGAUGAAUCGUCCGUCGACCCUAUCCUUGGGACCACCUGUAAGUGAUGAAGAUGCUGAAGCGGAUUUUUUCACGAAACAGGCAAGACUACAGAUUGAAGCUAGAAUGGCAUUGGCACAAGCAAAAGAUAUGGCGCAUAUGCAAAUGGAGAUCGAGCGUCAAAAACAAAAAGUAUCACCAAUAACCGAAGUCAUACGUAGCUCAAUGGAAAAAGUUGGUGUCCCAUUCCCGCCUGAAAAACGUCGUGUAUCCCGACAAAUGCUUACAGAUAUGAACAUCGCUCAGCUACAGAUUAUCGUGAAUGACCUUCACACCCAAAUCGAACGUCUCAACGAACAACUCGUCCAAUUCCUAAUGGAACGUGAUGACCUACAUAUGGGACAGGAUUCAAUGCUAGUUGACAUUGAGGAUUUGACACGAUACCUGUAAGUUGUGGCUCAAUUGGUUCGCCUAUUUACUAACUCAGUGUAAAAGUAGAUGUUGUUGCAAUUGAAUUUGUAGAAAAGCAAACAGAGGAGCCAAGGAACAGUCGAAAUUGAAUGAGAAAACCUCGUCUACUACUACUGAAACACCAAGUGAUUUUACAAAUCAAAAUCAACAAACAACCACCAUCAACAACUCAACAGCCAAUCAACAGAAUGGCGGUGUGCAAUC